This 395-nucleotide ribosomal RNA is filed under the name uncultured bacterium. Its description in RNAcentral is "bacterial SSU rRNA". It matches the Rfam family "Bacterial small subunit ribosomal RNA", at positions 505 to 898 of the family's 1533-position model. The record is from RNAcentral.
GUGUCAGCCGCCGCGGUAAUACGUAGGGUGCGAGCGUUAAUCGGAAUUACUGGGCGUAAAGUGUGCGCAGGUGGCUGAGCAAGUCGAGUGUGAAAUCCCCGGGCUUAACUUGGGAAUUGCGCUCGAAACUACUUGGCUCGAGUGUGGCAGAGGAAGGUGGAAUUCCAGGUGUAGCGGUGAAAUGCGUAGAGAUCUGGAGGAACACCGAUGGCGAAGGCAGCCUUCUGGGCCAACACUGACGCUCAUGCACGAAAGCGUGGGGAGCAAACAGGAUUAGAUACCCUGGUAGUCCACGCCCUAAACGAUGAUGACUAGUUGUUGGGGGAGUUAAAUCCCUUAGUAACGCAGCUAACGCGUGAAGUCAUCCGCCUGGGGAGUACGGUCGCAAGAUUAAA